UGGGGAAUUUUGGACAAUGGGGGAAACCCUGAUCCAGCCAUCCCGCGUGUGCGAUGAAGGCCUACGGGUUGUAAAGCACUUUUGGCAGGAAAGAAACGUCAUGGGUUAAUACCCCGUGAAACUGACGGUACCUGCAGAAUAAGCACCGGCUAACUACGUGCCAGCAGCCGCGGUAAUACGUAGGGUGCAAGCGUUAAUCGGAAUUACUGGGCGUAAAGCGUGCGCAGGCGGUUCGGAAAGAAAGAUGUGAAAUCCCAGAGCUCAACUUUGGAACUGCAUUUUUAACUACCGGGCUAGAGUGUGUCAGAGGGAGGUGGAAUUCCGCGUGUAGCAGUGAAAUGCGUAGAUAUGCGGAGGAACACCGAUGGCGAAGGCAGCCUCCUGGGAUAACACUGACGCUCAUGCACGAAAGCGUGGGGAGCAAACAGG
RNAcentral lists this ribosomal RNA (429 nucleotides) under Acidobacteriota bacterium. RNAcentral's name for it is "Acidobacteria bacterium partial 16S ribosomal RNA". It matches the Rfam family "Bacterial small subunit ribosomal RNA", at positions 355 to 776 of the family's 1533-position model. The record is from RNAcentral. Lineage: Bacteria; Pseudomonadati; Acidobacteriota.